UUCGUAGGUGGUGCGGCAAGUUGGAAGUGAAAUCUCUGGGCUUAACUCAGAGGCUGCUUUCAAAACUGCCGUGCUCGAGUGCGAGAGAGGCCAGUGGAAUUGCAGGUGUAGCGGUGAAAUGCGUAGAUAUCUGCAGGAACACCCGUGGCGAAGGCGGCUGGCUGGAUCGCAACUGACACUGAGGAACGAAAGCUAGGGGAGCAAACAGGACUAGAUACCCUGGUAGUCCUAGCCCUAAACCAUCAGGACUUGGGGUGGCCCGCGUAGGCGGGUCGUCCCGUAGCUAACGCGUUAAGUCCUGCGCCUGGGGAGUACGGUCGCAAGACUGAA
Molecule: ribosomal RNA, 330 nt
Filed under: uncultured bacterium
Lineage: Bacteria
Description: bacterial SSU rRNA
Rfam family: Bacterial small subunit ribosomal RNA
Source: RNAcentral